GACAGCAGGACGGUGGCCAUGGAAGUCGGAAUCCGCCAAGGAGUGUGUAACAACUCACCUGCCGAAUGAAUUAGCCCUGAAAAUGGAUGGCGCUUAAGCGGGUGACCGACACCGUGCCGUCUGAAUGAUAUAUUUCAGAUGAGUAGGAGGACGUGGUGAUCGUGACGAAGUAUACGUGCAAACGUGUAUGAAACGAUCACUAGUGCAGAUCUUGGUGGUAGUAGCAAAUAUUCAAGCGAGAUCCUUGAAGGGCGAAGCGGGGAAGGGUUCCACGCUAACAUUGAUUGGGCGUGGGUGAGUCGUUCCUAAGCCGAGUGGCAAUUGCUAAGUAGCGGCGAAAGGGAAGCGGGUUUACAUUCCCGCACACGGAUGUGGAGGCGGUGACGCUUUAUUGGGGCGAACACGCUGGCGAUGGCGCUGGGCAGAGUUGUCUUUUCUGUUUGACCGUUUGCGCAUGCGGUGUGGAGUCCGCUUGUCGGGAGAAACACGCAUGCGCGGGCAGAGCGCCGGGGCUUAUCCGGCGUCCAGCUCGCCAUCGACGGCCCUUGAAACUUUGCCUGCUGAUUUUAGAAUCCACGCCGUGGCGUACCGAUCACCGCAUCAGGUCCCCAAGGUGAACAGCCUCUGCUCAAUAUGAAAAAUGCAGGUAAGGGAAGUCGGCAAAUUAGACCCGUAACUUUGGGAAAAGGGUUGGCUCUAGUGCUGCGUGGGAGUGGUUGUUAAGUUGUGGCGCUAUUGAAGGUACUGAUUUGCGUGAUAUUUCGGUAUUAUUC
This 773-nucleotide ribosomal RNA is filed under the name Gelidiorariphycus loratus. RNAcentral's name for it is "partial large subunit ribosomal RNA". It matches the Rfam family "Eukaryotic large subunit ribosomal RNA", at positions 1236 to 2031 of the family's 3401-position model. Lineage: Eukaryota; Rhodophyta; Florideophyceae; Gelidiales; Gelidiaceae. The record is from RNAcentral.